RNAcentral lists this long non-coding RNA (768 nucleotides) under Phasianus colchicus (ring-necked pheasant). Its description in RNAcentral is "lncRNA (ENSPCLG00000010921.1)". Lineage: Eukaryota; Metazoa; Chordata; Aves; Galliformes; Phasianidae. The record is from RNAcentral.
AUGCCGUUCACCUGCUUUUCCUAACUAUGAUCUCAAAUUACUGAUUUUUCUUUCUUUGCCUACAUGCUGCUAUUUCGAGAUGCAAUAUUUGGUCGCUUGCUGAUUUUAAAUCCAAAUCCUGACUGAAAAUGAUUUUAUUUGUAAGGCAGCAGCGGGAACACCUGCUCUUGACAUGUGAGAAUGUUCUGAUGACAUAACCAGCUACCAGUAAUAGAAACUGUCUUUGGGCCCUCAUUGUGAGCCAUGUGAUGCUUCCACCACGUUGCCAAGUCAAACACUGUAAUUCCCCUCACUGAUUACUACUGCCCAGAGAGAGAGCAAGUGAGCAAAACUGUUUUUGAGUACUGAGUGACUUCUGAAUAUCCUACUGUAAUAUGGCUGACUUUAGUGGUCCUGAUACAAUGUCAGCUAAGGCCAAUGUAAGAGCAACAUGAUGGAAAGCACGGAGCAAAUACCUCCUGUUGUGAAGGUAUAGCAUGCUGGAGCCUCACAUCUGGCUUGGGUGCUUUGGUACCUGGUAAACUAACACGAAGCUAUCCCUGACACUGAACAUAAAUGGAAUUCAAUCAGGUUCCAACUUUGAACAGGAGGACUGAGAGGACUUCUUAAAUUUCUAUCUAGGACAAGAUGAUGAUUGGAAGGGCCAACAUAGAUUUACUAAGGGCAAACAGCCUGACAAGCCUGGCAGCCUGGUAGGAUGGAAUAACUGCUUCUGUGGACCAGGAUUGAAGUGGAUGGCUUUCAUCCUGUCUCUAUCACAAAUAUAAG